Molecule: ribosomal RNA, 467 nt
Filed under: uncultured bacterium
Lineage: Bacteria
Description: partial 16S ribosomal RNA
Rfam family: Bacterial small subunit ribosomal RNA
Source: RNAcentral
GACGAACGCUGGCGGCGUGCUUAACACAUGCAAGUCGAACGGAAAGGCUCCAGCUUGCUGGAGUACUCGAGUGGCGAACGGGUGAGUAACACGUGGGUAAUCUGCCCUGCACUCUGGGAUAAGCCUGGGAAACUGGGUCUAAUACUGGAUAUGACCUUUCUCCUUAUGGGGUUUGGUGGAAAGUUUUUCGGUGUAGGAUGAGCCCGCGGCCUAUCAGCUUGUUGGUGGGGUGAUGGCCUACCAAGGCGACGACGGGUAGCCGGCCUGAGAGGGUGAUCGGCCACAUUGGGACUGAGAUACGGCCCAGACUCCUACGGGAGGCAGCAGUGGGGAAUCUUGCAUAAUGGGCGGAAGCCUGAUGCAGCGACGCCGCGUGAGGGAUGACGGCCUUCGGGUUGUAAACCUCUUUCAGCAGGGACGAAGCGUAAGUGACGGUACCUGCAGAAGAAGCACCGGCUAACUACGUG